AUACAGAGGGUGCGAGCGUUAAUCGGAAUUACUGGGCGUAAAGCGCGCGUAGGCGGCUACUUAAGUCAGAUGUGAAAUCCCCGGGCUCAACCUGGGAACUGCAUCUGAUACUGGGUAGCUAGAGUUUUGGAGAGGGAAGUAGAAUUUCAGGUGUAGCGGUGAAAUGCAUAGAGAUCUGAAGGAAUACCAGUGGCGAAGGCGACUUCCUGGCCAAAAACUGACGCUGAGGUGCGAAAGCGUGGGUAGCAAACGGGAUUAGAAACCCCAGUAGUCC
RNAcentral lists this ribosomal RNA (274 nucleotides) under uncultured bacterium. RNAcentral's name for it is "partial 16S ribosomal RNA". It matches the Rfam family "Bacterial small subunit ribosomal RNA", at positions 523 to 796 of the family's 1533-position model. The record is from RNAcentral.